AACGAACGCUGGCGGCAGGCUUAACACAUGCAAGUCGAACGCCCCGCAAGGGGAGUGGCAGGCGGGUGAGUAACGCGUGGGAACAUACCCUUUUCUACGGAAUAGCUCUGGGAAACUGGAAUUAAUACCGUAUACGCCCUACGGGGGAAAGAUUUAUCGGGGAAGGAUUGGCCCGCGUUGGAUUAGCUAGUUGGUGGGGUAAAGGCCUACCAAGGCGACGAUCCAUAGCUGGUCUGAGAGGAUGAUCAGCCACAUUGGGACUGAGACACGGCCCAAACUCCUACGGGAGGCAGCAGUGGGGAAUAUUGGACAAUGGGCGCAAGCCUGAUCCAGCCAUGCCGCGUGAGUGAUGAAGGCCUUAGGGUUGUAAAGCUCUUUCACCGAUGAAGAUAAUGACGGUAGUCGGAGAAGAAGCCCCGGCUAACUUCGUG
Molecule: ribosomal RNA, 431 nt
Filed under: uncultured bacterium
Lineage: Bacteria
Description: partial 16S ribosomal RNA
Rfam family: Bacterial small subunit ribosomal RNA
Source: RNAcentral